This 497-nucleotide ribosomal RNA is filed under the name uncultured bacterium. Its description in RNAcentral is "partial 16S ribosomal RNA". It matches the Rfam family "Bacterial small subunit ribosomal RNA", at positions 28 to 507 of the family's 1533-position model. The record is from RNAcentral.
GAUGAACGCUGGCGGCGUGCCUAAUACAUGCAAGUCGAGCGAACAGACGAGGAGCUUGCUCCUCUGACGUUAGCGGCGGACGGGUGAGUAACACGUGGAUAACCUACCUAUAAGACUGGGAUAACUUCGGGAAACCGGAGCUAAUACCGGAUAACAUGUUGAACCGCAUGGUUCAACAGUGAAAGACGGUUUUGCUGUCACUUAUAGAUGGAUCCGCGCCGCAUUAGCUAGUUGGUAAGGUAACGGCUUACCAAGGCAACGAUGCGUAGCCGACCUGAGAGGGUGACCGGCCACACUGGAACUGAGACACGGUCCAGACUCCUACGGGAGGCAGCAGUAGGGAAUCUUCCGCAAUGGGCGAAAGCCUGACGGAGCAACGCCGCGUGAGUGAAGAAGGUCUUCGGAUCGUAAAACUCUGUUAUUAGGGAAGAACAAAUGUGUAAGUAACUAUGCACGUCUUGACGGUACCUAAUCAGAAAGCCACGGCUAACUACGUG